Molecule: ribosomal RNA, 476 nt
Filed under: uncultured bacterium
Lineage: Bacteria
Description: bacterial SSU rRNA
Rfam family: Bacterial small subunit ribosomal RNA
Source: RNAcentral
AUUGAACGCUGGCGGUAUGCUUAACACAUGCAAGUCGAACGGUAGCAGCUCUUCGGAGGCUGACGAGUGGCGGACGGGUGAGUAACGCGUAGGAAUCUGCCUGUUAGUGGGGGACAACUUAGGGAAACUUAAGCUAAUACCGCAUACGCCCUACGGGGGAAAGGAGGGGAUCUUCGGACCUUUCGCUAACAGAUGAGCCUGCGUAGGAUUAGCUAGUUGGUAGGGUAAAAGCCUACCAAGGCGACGAUCCUUAGCUGUUCUGAGAGGAAGAUCAGCCACACUGGGACUGAGACACGGCCCAGACUCCUACGGGAGCAGCAGUUGGGGAAUAUUGGGACAAUGGUCGGAAGACUGAUCCAGCCAUGCCGCGUGAAGGAUGAAGGCGCUCAGCGUUGAAACUUCUUUGUACGGGACAAAAAUGCGACCUGCGGGUUGUACUGAGGGUACCGUAAGAAUAAGCACCGGCUAACUCCGUG